GAGUAACGCGUAGGUAACCUGCCUUGUAGCGGGGGAUAACUAUUGGAAACGAUAGCUAAUACCGCAUAACAAUGGGUGACCCAUGUCAUUCCAUUUGAAAGGGGCAACUGCUCCACUACAAGAUGGACCUGCGUUGUAUUAGCUAGUAGGUGAGGUAACGGCUCACCUAGGCGACGAUACAUAGCCGACCUGAGAGGGUGAUCGGCCACACUGGGACUGAGACACGGCCCAGACUCCUACGGGAGGCAGCAGUAGGGAAUCUUCGGCAAUGGGGGCAACCCUGACCGAGCAACGCCGCGUGAGUGAAGAAGGUUUUCGGAUCGUAAAGCUCUGUUGUAAGUCAAGAACGACUGUGAGAGUGGAAAGUUCACACUGUGACGUAGC
RNAcentral lists this ribosomal RNA (384 nucleotides) under Streptococcus vestibularis. RNAcentral describes it as "bacterial SSU rRNA". It matches the Rfam family "Bacterial small subunit ribosomal RNA", at positions 108 to 484 of the family's 1533-position model. Lineage: Bacteria; Bacillati; Bacillota; Bacilli; Lactobacillales; Streptococcaceae. The record is from RNAcentral.